Long non-coding RNA from Ictalurus furcatus (blue catfish), 1692 nucleotides. RefSeq lists it as uncharacterized. Lineage: Eukaryota; Metazoa; Chordata; Actinopteri; Siluriformes; Ictaluridae. The transcript is spliced from 2 exons. The record is from RefSeq and is a predicted model, not a curated record.
UAUAGCAAAUGCUGGAAAUAAGAUCUCAAACCAUGGAACCGUGUGUGUGUGUGUGUGCGCGCGCGCGUGCGUGCAUGACCGCAUGUGUGUGCACGUUUGUAUGUGUGUGUAUGUGUGUUUGUGUGUGUUUAAAGAUUAUGAUGGAUGUUUGAGGCAUCUAGGAAGUAUAAAAUCAUGACUGAGGUUUAGAAUCAAGUGUUGGAAGACUGAGCCGCUGCAGCAUCCUGUAGCUUUCCAGCUGACUGGGUGCUACUGUUUGUUACCAUGGCAACGGAAAACUGCCCAGCAGGUUGGACAGCAACCUGGACAGCAGGUGUUCAUAUACCGUAUUGAGACACCACUUAAGGUAGAUCUGAUCAAAAGUCUCAUCACAGUUGUAAAUCAAUGCUCCUGAUCCAAUGUGAGCAUGCUGGAGUAUAACCAUGGCAACAGUUGCAUUUAAUGUUGUGGAACAUCCACAAAAGAAGUUCCAUUAUAGCAGAUAUAAGCAGACGUUCCUUCACCAGCUUCCAUCCAUCCAUCCAUCUUCUAUACCGCUUAUCCUUCCUUCAAGGUCACGGGGAAACCUGGAGCCUAUCCCAGUGAGCAUCGGGCACAAGGCGGGGUACACCCUGGGUGCCAGGGUGCCAAUCCAUCACAGGGCAUACUCAUACACAUUCACACACCCAUUCAUACACUACGGACACUUUGGACACGCCAAUCAGCCUACCAUGCAUGUCUUUGGACUGAGGGAGGAAACCGGAGUACCCGGAGGAAACCCCUGCAGCACGGGGAGAACAUGCAAACUCCGCACACACAGGGCCAAUCGAACCCCCGACCCUAGAGGUGUGAGGCGAACGUGCUAACCACUGUGCGCCCCCUUCACCAGCCUCUCUUUUAUUAUCUCUCUUGAAGUUAAUAAGUCCAGAAAAUGCAACUUGUCAUGUUAAAGAAAAAAAAAAACAACCUCAAACUCCUGUGUCCUGAAGAUAAAGUUACAGCUUUACCUAUGACUCUUACAAAGUACUGAGACUGGAGACUCCAUCAAUCAAUCUGAACAAUCAAUCCAUCCAUUUUCCAUACUGCUUAUCCUACACAGGGUCACGGGGAGCCUGGAGCCUAUCCCAGGGGACUUGGGGCACAAGGCGGGGGACACCCUGAACGGGUGCCAAUUUAUCACAGGGCACAAUCUCACACACACACACACACACACACACACACACACACACACACAGCCAUUCACGCACUAUGAACAAUUUGGAAAUGACAGUUAGCCUACAGUGCAUGUCUUUGGACUGGGGGAGGAAACCUGCGUACCCAGAGGCAAGCUCUGUGUGCACAAGGAUGAGACAGGAUUCAAACCCCCAGCCCCGGGGCUAAGAGGCAAACAUGCUAACCACCGUGCCCCCAAUCUUUUUUUCUGCCUCAUCUCAUCUGGUUGGUUGUUAUAUCUUGUUGCUUGUUGCUAACCGAAUGCUGCCGAAUCUUCAUGCCAUUGUGCUUCAGGAUAAUAUGCAGCUGUCUAAUAAAGAAAGAUGAGUAAUGCAGUGAGCAGACAGGUGUGGAACCAUGACCAGCCUUCACCCAGAGACCAAUACAGAGUCACAUACAGGGCUGUGAGUGAUAUGGCCUUUAUUGCAGUAAACACUGCUCUGCUGCAUGGAGGAAAGUGACUUGGAAUUAAAUGAAAAUGUAAUAAAAGUGUUCAGACAG